This 365-nucleotide ribosomal RNA is filed under the name uncultured eukaryote. RNAcentral's name for it is "partial 18S ribosomal RNA". It matches the Rfam family "Eukaryotic small subunit ribosomal RNA", at positions 592 to 975 of the family's 1831-position model. The record is from RNAcentral.
UAAUAGCGUAUAUUAACGUUGUUGCAGUUAAAAAGCUCGUAGUUGGAUUUCUGGAGGGAGCGUCGGCCCGUAUUUACGAGUGCGUGACGUCUCUGUCCAUCCUUGCGGGAAGGCACGGCAUUGAUUUGUUGUGUCGGAUCGCAUCAUUUACUGUGAAAAAAUUAGAGUGUUCAAAGCAGGCUUUCGCUUGAAUACAUUAGCAUGGAAUAAUAAGAUAGGACUUUGGUGCUAUUUUGUUGGUUGAGCCUAAAGUAAUGAUUAAUAGGGAUAGUUGGGGGCACCUGUAUUGCGUUGUCAGAGGUGAAAUUCUUGGAUUUACGCAAGACAAACAGCUGCGAANGNGUCUGCNAAGGAUGUUUNCAUUA